GCCCAAGAGACCCUAUCCAAAGCCCUGUAUGUGACCUCGAUGUUGAAUUAAUAACGCUACAUUUAGUAAAAGAAAUGCAAGUAGGUCUGUUCGACCUUUAAUAUAUUACAUGAUUUGAGUUCAGACCGGCGCAAGCCAGGUCAGCUUAUAUCUUCUCCCUCUAAGUGCUAGUACGAAAGGACCCCACAAUUAAUUAUA
RNAcentral lists this ribosomal RNA (198 nucleotides) under Sicarius lanuginosus. RNAcentral's name for it is "partial 16S ribosomal RNA". The stretch from base 1 to 156 matches the Rfam family "Bacterial large subunit ribosomal RNA", at positions 2490 to 2646 of the family's 2925-position model. Lineage: Eukaryota; Metazoa; Arthropoda; Arachnida; Araneae; Sicariidae. The record is from RNAcentral.